This 1012-nucleotide ribosomal RNA is filed under the name uncultured soil eukaryote. RNAcentral describes it as "SSU rRNA". It matches the Rfam family "Eukaryotic small subunit ribosomal RNA", at positions 13 to 1020 of the family's 1831-position model. The record is from RNAcentral.
CCUGCCAGUAGUCAUAUGCUUGUCUAAAAGAUUAAGCCAUGCAAGUCUAAGUAUAAGCAAUUUAUACUGUGAAACUGCAGAUAGCUCAUUAUAUCAGUUAUAGUUUAUUUGAUGGUACCUUACUACACGGAUAACUGUAGUAAUUCUAGAGCUAAUACGUGCCAAGAAACUCUAACCCUUUUGGGAAGGAGCGGACUUAUUAGUUUGAAACCAACCCAGCUUGCUGGUUUUUGGUGAUUCAUAAUAAUUUCUGGAUCGCAUACCCUUGUGGUGGCGAUGGGUCAUUCAAAUUUCUGCCCUAUCAGCUGUGAUGUUAGUGUAGUGGACUAACAUGGCUUAUACGGGUGACGGGGGAUUAGGGUCUGAUUCCGGAGAGGGAGCCUGAGAAACGGCUACCACUUCCAAGGAAGGCAGCAGGCGCGUAAAUUACCCAAUCUCAAAACGAGGAGGUAGUGACAAGAAAUAACAAUACUGGUCUAAUCAUUAGAUCCGGUAAUUGGAAUGAGUACAACGUAAAAUCCUUAACGAGGAACAAUUGGAGGGCAAGUCUGGUGCCAGCAGCCGCGGUAAUACCAGCUCCAAUAGCGUAUAUUAAAAUUGUUGCAGUUAAAAGGCUCGUAGUCGAAUGUAUGACACUAUUGAUCCUGGCCCGCUUCCUAGUGGAGCGAGAGCUGGUGUAUCAUGGGUCAUCUUUGUGGAGAGCGUCUCUACCCUUGAUUGGGUUGGUUUCGCGAUUCACAUCAUUUACUGUGAACAAAUCAGAGUGUUCAAAGCAGGCAUUUGCGGCUUGUAUGGUUCAGCAUGGAAUAAUAAGAUAAGGCUUUGGUCUUAUUUUGUUGGCUUAAGGACCAAAGUAAUGAUGGAAAGGGAUAGUUGGGGGUGCUAGUAUUCAAUGGUCAGCGGUGAAAUGCGUGGACCCAUUGAAGACUAACUAAUGCGAAAGCAUUCACCAAGGAUAUCUUCUUUGAUCAAGAACGAAAGUUGGGGGAUCGAAGACGAUCAGAUACCGUCG